This 217-nucleotide long non-coding RNA is filed under the name Physcomitrium patens. Its description in RNAcentral is "long non-coding RNA (PPAT_LNC004863)". Lineage: Eukaryota; Viridiplantae; Streptophyta; Bryopsida; Funariales; Funariaceae. The record is from RNAcentral.
AAAGAAGAUUAAAGAUUAAAGAUUAAAAAUUAAAAAUUAAAAUACAAAAGUUGAAAUAUGAAAGUUACAAAUUACUAUAAAAAUAAAAGUAAAAGUGAGACUAUAGAGAGAUAAAAGCAAAGAUACCUUGAUAACAUCCAAGAAUUAAAGGUAGAAAUUCCUUUCUAAUCCAAAAUUUGCCAAAAAUCGUAAUUAAUUCCAAACUGAAUGACUUUUA